AUGCCCUUUUAUCCAGUAUCCCAACGUGGGAGCAGCAUUUUGCAAGUUGCUCUAGCUAGAUCAACGGGGACAGGUAUCAGUGAAUGAGACAGACAGGAUUUGAGUCCGUCUAGCCUACUGCCGCGUGCUUGGAGGGAGGCACGAUCUCUUUUCUCUAUGCAUCGUUUCUUAGGUUUUAUGUUGGUGUUGGAUGAGUUUGUUAAAAAUGUGAUUUUGGAAGUCCAGGAGUCCUAACUACAUCCCCCUUUUGGUCAAAAGCCUCCUUUGUCAACGUGGCUCUAACUAAUUUAGCUCAGCACGGUUAAGAGGCAAGAACUAGCUGCCCUUUACUUUGUAGGGAAGCAGAAACUGGUGCACAUUGUCAACUUUG
RNAcentral lists this long non-coding RNA (370 nucleotides) under Rattus norvegicus (Norway rat). Its description in RNAcentral is "long non-coding RNA NONRATT017341". The record is from RNAcentral. Lineage: Eukaryota; Metazoa; Chordata; Mammalia; Rodentia; Muridae.